AGAGUUUGAUCAUGGCUCAGGACGAACGCUGGCGGCGUGCUUAACACAUGCAAGUCAAACGGAGAUAUACCUUCGGGUAUAUUUUAGUGGCGGACGGGUGAGUAACGCGUGAGCAACCUGCCUUACAGAGGGGGAUAACACAGAGAAAUCUGUGCUAAUACCGCAUAACAUAUUUAAGAGGCAUCUCUUGAAUAUCAAAGGAGCAAUCCGCUGAAAGAUGGGCUCGCGUCCGAUUAGGUAGUUGGUGAGGUAACGGCUCACCAAGCCCGCGAUCGGUAGCCGGACUGAGAGGUUGGCCGGCCACAUUGGGACUGAGACACGGCCCAGACUCCUACGGGAGGCAGCAGUGGGGAAUAUUGCACAAUGGGGGAAACCCUGAUGCAGCAACGCCGCGUGAGGGAUGACGGCCUUCGGGUUGUAAACCUCUUUCAGUAGGGAAGAAGCGAAAGUGACGGUACCUGCAGAAGAAGCGCCGGCUAACUACGUGCCAGCAGCCGCGGUAAUACGUAGGGCGCAAGCGUUAUCCGGAAUUAUUGGGCGUAAAGAGCUCGUAGGCGGUUUGUCGCGUCUGCCGUGAAAGUCCGGGGCUCAACUCCGGAUCUGCGGUGGGUACGGGCAGACUAGAGUGAUGUAGGGGAGACUGGAAUUCCUGGUGUAGCGGUGAAAUGCGCAGAUAUCAGGAGGAACACCGAUGGCGAAGGCAGGUCUCUGGGCAUUAACUGACGCUGAGGAGCGAAAGCAUGGGGAGCGAACAGGAUUAGAUACCCUGGUAGUCC
This 776-nucleotide ribosomal RNA is filed under the name uncultured bacterium. RNAcentral describes it as "bacterial SSU rRNA". It matches the Rfam family "Bacterial small subunit ribosomal RNA", at positions 8 to 796 of the family's 1533-position model. The record is from RNAcentral.